CUCGUCUGGCCACAGCUUUAUAACCAGAGACUCUUCUGUGCUCUCUCCAAUAACUGACAAACAGAUCAGAUAGAGUUACAGAAGGAUGGGAGGGUUGUCUUGUGAGUCAGAUUCAUGGGUUUGCUCUUCCGAAACUCAAACCUCGGAGUACUCCAAUGAAUUUCAUGAAGAAAUUGAGCAAGAAUGGGAAAGAAUUAACAAUGGCGAGAAGCUGUUGAGUAAGAAAAAGAAGAAGAAGAAGAAGCAGGUUUUGUUAGAAGCGUAUGUGGAGAAUGUUGAUGAGGAUGAUUUGAAGAGGACGAAGAGCUUGACCGAUGAUGAUCUUGAUGAGCUGAAAGGAUGUUUGGAUCUAGGUUUUGGCUUCAGCUAUGACGAGAUACCUGAGCUCUGCAACACCUUGCCUGCGCUUGAGCUCUGUUACUCAAUGUCCCAGAAGUUCCUCGAUGAUCAUCAGAAGACCCCGGAAAAUUCUCCGCUCGCUGAUUCCGUCUCCAGUCCUAUUGCCAAUUGGAAGAUCUCUAGCCCUGGUGACCAUCCAGAAGAUGUUAAAGCAAGACUCAAAUUUUGGGCACAGGCUGUGGCAUGCACCGUGAAAUUAUGCAGCUAAAUCAUAGUUUGAUUAAAUUAACUCACCCACAAAGAAAAUGAUUGGGCAUUUUUAAUCAUCUCAAAUCAAUGGCCUUGACCUUCAUUAAGAGCCUGAACUCUGCAAUCCGUUAGUGAGGACAUCCUCUUGCUGGAGUGAUAUUCUUGCUGUUAUCUAGCAGCAUAUGGACCUGCUGAAGCCUGUCCAUGGCAGGUUGAUUUUAAAGGUGUAGAAGAAGAAGAGAAAGGAGGAGAAGGAUGUUUCAGUGGUGAGAGCCUUCAUUAGAGCUUCACCAACUAGUUCCAGACCUCUGCAUUUGCUGAGACUCCAUUCAAUAGACAAGUGUCUCACUUUGCUGCUAUGGAGACGGGAAAGGAAGAAGUGUCCAGAUGCAUGUCUCGUUUGCUAAACCUACUCGGAAAUUUGUUUUCUCUAACUUUUAUGCGUUGCUAGUGAAAGCACGGCUGGCUGAUCUUGUGUGAAGAGAAAUUAUUUUGUACGACGGGUAUACUUAGAUGUAGUAUUUUCAAUGUUUAGUAUAAUAUUUUGCAUUAUCAUAAAACAAAGAAUGAAAGAAAGGACUGGUUGUUUGAUAAUGUGGGAACUCAGAUUUUGAGAACUCCUUGUAGCUAGGGAAAUCCAUAUUCAGAAUCCGGGUCAAAGAAUAUAUAAGACCAAGUAUGUGAGUCAUUUGGAAUGUUCAAAACUUUUGGGACAAGGAAACCUCGAGUGAUUAUCAAUAUUUAGCUAGGCUGCCAAA
This is an RNA transcript of Carica papaya (papaya), 1346 nucleotides long. RefSeq lists it as uncharacterized. Lineage: Eukaryota; Viridiplantae; Streptophyta; Magnoliopsida; Brassicales; Caricaceae. The record is from RefSeq and is a predicted model, not a curated record.